Lampris incognitus (smalleye Pacific opah) is the source of this 1194-nucleotide long non-coding RNA. RefSeq lists it as uncharacterized. NCBI's taxonomy places the organism in Eukaryota, Metazoa, Chordata, Actinopteri, Lampriformes, Lampridae. The record is from RefSeq and is a predicted model, not a curated record. The transcript has 3 exons.
GAACAAAUUGAAUCCAGUCUUGAAAUAGAGGCCGUGAAGGAGAUCCCGGUGGAGGCAGCGGUGAAUGGGCACGUUGCUCCAGAAGUCUCCAUUGAAGGCUAAGCCACGCCCCUAAGAUUCACUCAGUCAUUACAGUGGACUGAAGACUUUACCGGGAGACAAUCCUUUACCUUUUCUAUUCAUUUUUAGGGCUUACAAAAGGGACCGCGGGGAAAAUCAAAGGGACAUUCACAUUUUUAAAAGUGCCUUUUCUGCCCGCGUUCUCCCCAAGACAACCAAGCAAUACUGCUGCGGUAAAACUGCCACAGGAACGGACUCUUGUCACCAUGCAUCGCAGCUCCCUUCACAUAUCAUUCUGUAUCUCCCAAAGGCAUGUAUUGUGGAUUUGUGUCAACUUUUGUAAAUGAAAUGCACACAAUCCAUAUGUGUAGUAUAAGAAUCGCUGAAUGAAGCUGUAGUUUGUAUCUGGGCUGUGUCGGUAAGGGUGGGAGGGAUAGUAUACUUGUCCUUAGGGUACUUUUCUGUCCUUCUCUGAUAUUUCAACAUCCUUGUAUUUUGCUCGUCAUUCUCUGUUUUCUGAAAGAGGCAUGGCAGCAGAAUGUACCCUAAGCAUGUCCUCUAGUAGUCCUGGGCUGUUCAUCCCACAGUGGUGCCUUUGCUCGUUUAGUGUCCGUGACUCCAUUCGAGACGUUAACCUGUCAGAUGGGAAAAACCCAGGGGUUCAUCUGCAGACCAAAGGGAGCCAAAACAAGCGCCUUGGGGGUCUCCCACUCCCAAGAAACACGCACACUAGUAAUCACAAUAGAAAAGGGCUUCUUUUGCCCCCCAACCCGGUUCCUCCAGGUGCCUCUGCUUUUCCCUGCAGGGCGGUGGGAAAAAGGGGUCCAAUCUGGCAUUAAACUGAAGCAAAUGUUCUGCCGUCAGAAGCUGAGGACUGACUUGAGGGCACCGGCUCUGAGCUCGUGUGUUCUGUCUGUCUGUCUCCUUUAUAUUUCCCUCUCUUCUUUUCCAGUCCUCGUUUUGUAUAGACUAUACGAUGUGGUUCAGUUUUGCAGUCUGUGCUCUGGGGGAGAGUUCGUGGAAUUGGCAUGUGAUUUGAUGAUGAUGAUGAUGACGAUGGUGAUGAUGAUGACGAUGAUGAUGAUGAUGGGUUGAGUUGGACUUCGUCUACUUUUGGAAUAAAGCUGUGACUCA